UACGUAGGUGGCAAGCGUUGUCCGGAAUUAUUGGGCGUAAAGAGCUCGUAGGCGGUCUGUCGCGUCUGCUGUGAAAACUCGGGGCUUAACCCCGGGCCUGCAGUGGGUACGGGCAGACUAGAGUGCGGUAGGGGAGACUGGAAUUCCUGGUGUAGCGGUGAAAUGCGCAGAUAUCAGGAGGAACACCGGUGGCGAAGGCGGGUCUCUGGGCCGUAACUGACGCUGAGGAGCGAAAGCGUGGGGAGCGAACAGG
RNAcentral lists this ribosomal RNA (253 nucleotides) under uncultured bacterium. RNAcentral's name for it is "partial 16S ribosomal RNA". It matches the Rfam family "Bacterial small subunit ribosomal RNA", at positions 524 to 776 of the family's 1533-position model. The record is from RNAcentral.